GCCUCGGUGGUUAAAUGGUGAAAGCGCUCGAUCGGAGAUCGGAAGAUUUAGAUUCCACUCUUAGCUGAGGUA
Molecule: transfer RNA, 72 nt
Filed under: Trachymyrmex cornetzi
Lineage: Eukaryota; Metazoa; Arthropoda; Insecta; Hymenoptera; Formicidae
Rfam family: tRNA
About the family: Transfer RNA (tRNA) molecules are approximately 80 nucleotides in length. Their secondary structure includes four short double-helical elements and three loops (D, anti-codon, and T loops).
Source: Rfam by way of RNAcentral